This is a long non-coding RNA of Bacillus rossius redtenbacheri, 13339 nucleotides long. RefSeq lists it as uncharacterized. NCBI's taxonomy places the organism in Eukaryota, Metazoa, Arthropoda, Insecta, Phasmatodea, Bacillidae. The transcript is spliced from 5 exons. The record is from RefSeq and is a predicted model, not a curated record.
AUGAUAAUUGGUUCAACACAAAGUAUAUUUUUGUUUUUAUUCAAAGUAAGAUCACUAUUUGUUCAUUUAUCGGUAGUCUUUGUCAUGUGCAGAAUCUUUCAUUAUUUGGAUCAUGACAUCAAGACCUAAAAAUAAACUUGGAUACGUGAUACGGACAAUCGCCCAGUUUUUAAUAUCUGCAAUUGUAAAAUCGCCUAUCUAAUAGAAGUUUGGUUUUAAUUUUUCUGGGAAAAUUGAUUGGUAUAUGUUUGUUGACAAGAGAAAUGAAAUUGUAAAUUAGUGAUUCACAUGACUGAAGCUAAUUCGUCACAAAAAUUGAGUUGCCCUUUCAAUGUUUGGAAUGAAUGCAAUAAAUAGAUAGUGCAGAGCAAUUGCUUAAAUUGUUCAAAUUACCAUGCAUUUACCUACACACUGAAGAAUUUUGAGUGAUUUAGUUAUCUAUAUUUAAAUUAAAUGUUAAACAAUUUUUGUAUCAGGUAACAUCAAAUGAGCUGGCCGAACAUUUGCUGCAGUAUGCACACUUCCCAGGAGCUGGAGGAAUUCGCAGUAACCAGAGGAAGUUCUAUGAUUUGGGUGAAUUUCCUGGAGUUACUGGUUGCAUUGAUUGCACACACAUCUGCAUUAGCAAUCCUGGUGGCCAAUUUCCUGAGUUGUACCGUAACAGGAAACAGUACAUGUCAUUGAAUGUUCAGGUUGUUGCAGGUCCUAACCUAGAGAUCAUGGACAUUGUAAAAUGAUGGCCUGGUAGUACCCAUGAUGCCAGGAUAUUUAGUAACAGUAGGGUGAUGGUUAGGUUUGAAAAUCAAGGACUACCAGGAAUACUUCUAGGAGAUAAUGGAUAUCCACAGUUGACAUUCCUGUACACACCAGUACCGGUCCCAACAACAGCAGCAGCUGAUAUUUGAUACAAUGUAGCUCACAGAAGAACGAGAAACAUUGUAGAAUGGUUAUUUGGAGUGUGGAAGAGACAGUUCGCAAGCCUUGGACAAAAACUGCGAAUGAAACUGGCAACUUUAAAGAAGGUGAUUCUUGCAUGUGCUGUGCUGCACAACAUUGCAGAGCCACUGCCACCUCCAGUAAAUGAGCUUCGUGUUCUACCUGCAGUUCCAGUUGCAAAUUUGCAUCCACGUAACAACCGAGGAGCUGCGUUGAGGGCAAUGUUCAUUGAACGUCAUUUCACAUGAGUACAAUCUAGAACAUGGAAUGUAAUAGGCCUCUCGGGGAAUCUCGCCAUGUAUAAAAAAAAAAGGAGAUAUGCAUUGAGCAUUAUACCUCCUGAGGGUUUUCACUAAGGUGAUGUGGAAACUGGUGCAAUGAGUCAAUAUGCAAGUACAUAAAUGGGUAAGUUUUGUGCCAUUUUUGUAUAAUUAUGUUUAUUUGUUGGGUUUGAUUUAUCCAAACUAAAAUUAAUGGAGCUUUUAUAUUUUUUUUAACAUGUUUGUGUUUUUAGGAGUUACACAAAAAUUUUUUCAUUUUUAAGGUGGCAGUUAGCAGGUUUUUUUCGUUUGUCUUAACCACUUAAGCAAAAAUUAAGGAUGUUAUAACAUUUUUGAAUUUUACAAAGAAGGUUAUGUGAGGCCUAUGGGAAUCAUAUAAAUGUGGUAUGAAAAUAGUUGAUUUAUAUAAAUUCAAAAUAUAAUCAUUAAUAAUUUUUUAUUAAGUUAACACCUGGCAUAACACACCAAUAUUUAAACAGCUGAAAUGGUCAAGUAUCAUUAUUGCAAGUUUAAAAUAUUAAAUUCAAAUUAUUUUUAGAGUAUUGUUGACAUAUUUAUAAUCAUUAACAAACUUAAUGGGAAAGAGAUGCAUAGUAAAUACAUCAACAAAAAUUAUAAUACAUUCAAUAACGUCUUAACAAUUUUAAUGCAAAAGGCUAUGUUUUUCCCCCCUCUUUAUCUGUCCAUUGUAGUGUGUUGUGUGAGGCAGGCUAGAGAUGGGACACUGCAGGUAAUGGAGAGUACUGCUAUAGGCUCCACAGGUACAAGAGGCAAACUAAGAAGGGUCAUAUCCAUGAAGAAGAUCAUAAGAAGAUCAUAUCCAUGAUCACAAGGUGAGACAGUGUGAUAGCAUAAUUGUCCGGUGUUCAAUCCUUUUGCAGUAAGCGAAAGAAGUAUCCCCAAAACCUGAUUUUUAAAAUAAUGUAACCAAAAUCACAAUUUAGUAAUGUGAACCUAACACGCAAAUUAAUAAUAAAAAAUUCCACAAUUUGAAAAUAGUUAAUUACCUACCAUAGAAUGUAUACAAUUUUACCGUCCAUUGCCAUUUCCAGAGUUCAGUAGUUUCAUUCGCGACUGGUGCUCUUCCUCGCGAUGUUUCUUUGCUCAUGUAGCUCUUUGGCAUAUCUUGCUGUCGUUCGUGCUGCCCUAAUGCAAAGUUUUUGUUCUAGAAUUAACAGCUCAUGAUGCUCUACUUCCCUUUUCUCCAUCCCGUAAAUUUUCUGGAGGCUAUGCUGUAAUUCAUCCUCUAUUGCAACCUCACGACGAGUAUAUGCCUUAUUAGAGCGUGAAUAAAUGGGAGCAUCCUUCUGCAUGUGUAUGCCAUCAACCUCAUGAGACACAUCUUCAUACAUGGUUUCUGACAUAGGUAGCUCGUAAUCGUGGUCCAGUGCGAUGUAAUAGUAUUAUCCAUCAAAAAUUGAUGUGAACUGAGAUAAAUAUUGUAGGCCAUUAAAAAAAUUUUAUUUACAGUUCUGACAGUCUAAUGCAUGUUAUUCAUACAAAAUGGCUCAAAUGUCAUUACAAAUAAAUGCCUUAUAUUGAUAAUUCUGUGUGAGGGAGGAAGAAUACAAAAUCUAAAGAAUGCAGAUACUAAUGAAAAUUUUCCAACACACUUCGUAGUAAUACAUUAUAACAAAUUUAACACUGAGAUUUCACUGCAUUCAAUGAAGCACAUUGAAUUAAGCAAUAACAAAACACAUUAUCAACUUCUGAUUAACGAGAGAGAUUAUGUAUAUGUGUAUAUAUGUAGGUAGGUAUAUAUUGAAAUGCCCCUUGUGCCUCAAAAUUAAAUUAUUUUAAUUUAAUUAAAAAAAAAACUUGGAAACUGCUGGGCAAAAUAUUAAGAAAAAUAAAGUUAUUGACCAGAGGUGGCACGAGGUGGAGAACAAGACAGUUUGGAACUCCCUGACACAAGCAACUUGGGAGCUAGUGGAUCGUUUAAAAGGAUAUAGUUGAAUAUGAAACAAAUAAAUCAUAAUUUAGGUAGAUUAGUCUAUAGGUUUCCUGGGUUUAUUUAGAAUGGUAAAUUAAAUAUGUUUUCCCUUUGUUUUGGUUUUACAAUAAAAUAUAUUAACACCUAACAAGUAGAAGGACCGGCCUGAUAUUAUUAAUAACAUGUUAUAUUAUAUUAAUAACACAUCAUCACAGAAACAAAAAAAAAUUGAAAUAUUCCACCCUAUUAGAUUCUUUUGCUGUUUGUAUAGAUAAUAGUCUCAUUGAUUUUACAUAUUAUCGUUGAUUAAGUUCUUAAGUCACUGUUUGCUGGUAUGCAUUUAAUUAAUUUAGUUCAUUAUAUGUAAGGGGAAAAUAUAUUUCUAAUAUCACCCGAGUCUUCAAAGUAUGACGUCGGGCUGGGAAAAGGGGAAAAUAUAUUUUUAAUAUCACCCGGGUCUUCAAAGUAUGAUGUCGGGCUGGGAAAAGGGGAAAAUAUAUUUCUAAUAUCACCCGGGUCUUCAAAGUAUGAUGUCGGGCUGGGAAAAAUUCUCUUCUUAAGGGUACUCGGAGCUCGAGGUCCCGAAUGACAUGCUGGGAGCAAAUAUUCCCCCAACACUUAGACCAUGUCUGAAACACAAGUCAAAUUUCAAACGAAUUAGACCUGCUUCUAGACAGUCAAACACAGUCGGCGCGAAAAGGCCAACAAACAGGGAUUCGGGAAGAAAAAAGACCGGAUUACUCACCAAACAGGGUGUAGCUCCUGGGCUUAGGAAAUGUCUCGCGCCGACAUCCAAAUGGCGCGGACCGAAAAUACAGCGGAUGACGCGGAGAAACCAUGAUUUAGGAAGAUACAGAAAUUAAUAAAAUGUUAACUAAAACAUUAUUCGUUGCCUACAUACAACGACUAACCGGCUACUGCUACAUUAGAUUCUGGGAUCACAUCCCUAAACACCGAUGACUAUUUCGAAAUCAGAGUUUUUCGUUGCCGAGAAGACGCGGUAAGUAGCCGAAGUCAGAGUACUAAGUGCGCGGUGGCGGACAAAACUCCUAAUUAAAAUGGGCGGUCAGCCCUAGGGAAAAGUAGGGGAAGGUUCGGCUCUAGGCCGAAAAUUUCCGAAGGAGUCCGAGGUGGGCAUGACAACAACACAACAUGCGCGCUCUCUCCGGCGGUAACAGGAAGCUACAAAGAAUCGACUUGAACUCGACGCGACUUGAAAGCAUAGGGGCUUAUGGCGCCGCGGAGCAGCUCUCUAGCGGCAUAAAGGGGAACUAACGGAGGAGGUGAGCUGAAUCGCAGCCAGGUGUCACGGGCGUGUACUCUGCACGCUGGCGACCAGGGCCGAAGUUACAUUUCUGUCACUAGGUGUCUUGGAGGGCUCUGUAGGGCAAGGGCGAAUGUCAUUGGAGUAGGCCACUGCCUUGGCGAGUUCACGUACGGUCAAUGAUCCAGCGCUAAAUUCUUAGAACUAAGGGAGAGUUGGAGAGAGAGGGGAGGGUGGACAGAAAAUGCUACUAGGCUGGGAGGUCCACGGGAGACUCGUUCGUGCCGAGACUGGCUAGUCUCAGCAGGCCUCUAAGAAAUAGAGCUUGCGGGCCAGAAGCUGCUCUAUGCGAUUUUAGUCAUGUAGGGAAUUAAUAUUACAAACCCGGGACCUGCCUGCAAGCGGGAGAAAUGUCAUCCGGGCCGCUAACGACUACUUUAGACUAGCAAAAUAUCAAAUAGGUCCCUGAGAAAAGGGUGCUUCGGUCCACUGGCACAAAGUUUAACUACGUAGCAUACACCACCCUAACAAAGUGUCAAUCACCCUAUUGUAACCAAUCAAUUUGAAAAAUAAAAUUUCCAAAAAAUAAAAUAAAAACUAUAAUAAAAAAUUUAAAAAAACUGUGCCGAAAUAACCUAAUUUCCGGCACAAUAUAUAUACAUACACAUACAUACACAAUAAAACGGAAGGCACUAAAGCAGUAUAGCAAAUGGAAACAUAACAAUAUAAAGAAGACAUUUAUUUUGGUGAUAUAAUACUAACCUUUGUUAACUUAUAAAUAAUAAUCGAAAUCAAUCUCGAUUUCCUGCCACGCUUUCCGCUUUUCGGCGACGUUUUUAAAAUCCGUUUUCUUGGCUUCCACUAUUUUUGCCUUUUUUUCUACUAAUGAAAAUAAAAUUGAUUUUUCAUUAGCAGAGAAUCUCUCGGAAAAUUGCCUUGCCAUACUAUCCAUUGCAUGAUUUAUUGCUAUUCAACCACAUGGAUAACACUAUGUUUACUAUUUAUGCACAGUAGAUUAAACGCUCACAAUAUACGUGUUUCCUAUUGGCUGAGUUUGUGACAUCAUAACCUGACGUCACUUAAUUCGGGCUUAUUCGCAUGAACUCGGCUACCUUCGUUAUUUAGUAAGCUUCCACCAAAUACCAUAAAGACUAAGGGUACGCACACAAAGGAAACAGGUUUCCCGCUAGCGGGCUGCCGGCGCCGAUUGGCGCGGAAAGUCGGCGCCGGUGCAGCACACAGAAGACGCGUGUAAAAGCAGGUGAACCAGCCAGUCGUGCAGCAGAUUUUGUGGGAGAAAUAUGUCGUCCAGUUAGUCAUUCGAUAAAGAAUUUAUUAUUUCAGAUAGUUUAACACCAAAAGUUAAAAGAAUAAAACCAAUGUGCACCCAAUAAACAGGGGCAGAUACAGGCAUGGUGAAUAUCAUACUUUAUUUAAGGAUUUGAAGACACAUAAUGAAAGAUUUUUCCAGUAUAUAAGAAUGACGCAUGGGACAUUGAGUACAUAUUAAAUAAAGUGGAUCAGCGGUUGACAAAGAGACAUGGUGUAAUUGGCACACUCAGCCCAUUCUGUCAGAAGAGAGACUAGUUAUUACAUUAAGGUAAGUUGUAUGUAUUGUACAUGUUUCCUCUGUGCUGAACUAAACUGCAACAUAACAUAAUUGAUACGUGUAUAAUAAACAGUGGCUAUCUUUAUGUUUUUUGAUAUAUUCCAUGUUAUCAAUAAGCCUAUUUCUCAUACAUCGCACCAGUAACCAUAUGCCUGUAGCAUUAGUAACCUACAGUUUUUCCUUCAUACCAAUGAAAGCUAUGUCGCACAGUAAAAUGUUAAUACCUAUUGAAGUUUAUGUUAGUAGCUGUUGACAAAGUAUCAUACGUAAUGUUUUCUUGUGAUUGAUAAAGUACCGGGGUAGUUGGACGUAGAACGUACAGGGUUGUUUCUGGGCCAGCAGGAGGUGAACAGUGGUAGGAAAGCUGCAAAUGCUGAGAUAAGGAAAGGUCCUGAUGGUAUGCAAAUUGUUCUACGAGUCCUUGCACCUUACUAUAAAACAAUAAUUUACACAAAUCCGGUAUUUUUCUCACAUGAGGGAGUAAACUCUUAAAAAAUUGAAGAUCAUCAUCAUUUUGCCUUGCUGCUUUUGCUUGUAGGUAUUGCAGUUUCUGUUUUUCCAGGUUCAAUAUAGACUCGUUAAAUAUUUCUAUAGAUCCGCGCUUCCUUUUUCCUGCUGGUGUAAAUGAAAUCGUCGGUGACAUUACAGAAUGUGUGGCACUACUGUCAUCGUAAACUGUAUCUAUGCAGUCUUCUUUUGAGAGCUGUCUUCUUGCUCGCUUAUGGAUGCUGUGUCAGAGGCAAGGACAGAAGGUUCGUGUGAUUCCACUGGUGAUUUAGGUGACAUAUUCCUCUCCAUAGGAUCUGUAGAUGGAAUCUUGCAUAGAUUUCCUGAGCUCUGUCUUGUGGAAACAAUGUCUUUAAGGAAGAGCAGUGACCGAAAAUACGGGCACUUAGACAUAUGGUCAGAACCUGCAUCAUCCCCUGAUCGCGAAGGUUUUUUUCCCCAGUUCUACUGCAAACUGGUCCCUGAGAUAUUUCCAUUUUUUUCUGGUGGUAUUUUCUGUAACAAAAGAAAUGACAAUCCUAUAAUAGUACUUGUUUGACACAUAUAUUUACCAACUGCUACAUUUCAUUAUUUGUUUCAGGUAUUUGGCAACUGGAGACUCUUUCAAAUCUCUUUCGUUUUCAUUCCGAAUGGGAGCAUCUACCAUCGGGAAAAUCGUUGCAGAGACUGUUACCGUUGACGCGAACCCCGCUACCUCUAUGAAAAUUUACGUAAGACUAGGGACCCGUCCUCCACAGGACCUCCCGCGGCUCCGACCAUCGGGGGGCUAGCCCCACACAAACAUUUCAUGCCCCGGAUGACAAAUGGUGCUGUCUGACGUACACCAGCUGACCUGGCUGGAUCGGUGGUGGGGGGUGGCUACUCAGGGGUGUGUGGGCCGCCAGGAAGUGGGCCUGUUGUUGUCUGGCAUGCUCCCUCCCCUCCUCACGAUUGGGGCGCACCACCAUGCCCAUGGCAACGUCGGCCACCCUGCUCUCUCCGGGCAACGCCAGGUUUUUUCCGUACAGGAGCUCGGCAGGGAAAUGACCGGUGACGGCGUUGGUGCGGCACCGGAGACAAUACAGCAGCUUUGGCAGGUGGACGUCCCUUGGAGUGGUCGUCGCCCAACCUUAGCCGCUGCUGCGCCUUGACCUCCAGGUUCCUCCUUUCAGUGGGGUUGGCCUGUGGAUGGUAGAUGGGAGUGGUGUGGUGGUCGAGGCCCCAUCGGUGACAGUCAGUUCGCCAGCGCCUCCUGCUGAACUGACAGCCGUUGUCCGUCAACAACACGUGCGCGAAACCAUACCGCGGGAAGAUUUCAUGGUCCAGCAGGGCUGCUAUGGUCCCGGCGUGCACGUUGGACACCCGGAAGGCCUCGACCCACCGGGUGAAAAUGUCAGUGAUCACGACCAGGAAUCUCUUUCCCCCAGUGGUCCGCGGGUAGGGCCCCAUUAUGUCCAGAGUCAGGGUGUGAAAUAGGUCGCAAGGCCGGCGGGGGCGCUGCUGUUCCACUCCGUCAGACCGCCUUGUCUUCCUCUGCUGGCAUGCUGGCAGCGCCGCAACAGGUCCCGUACAUCGCGCAUCACCCCUGGCCAAUGGAAGGUCUUACAAAUGUCCAGUUGUGUCUGGUGUGCGCCUGGGUGGCCCGCCAGUUUGUGCGUGUGGUGGAAGCACAUGACCUGUUCACGGGCACCGAACGGCACAUGAAUGCGCCAGGCAUCCAUAUCCCCGGGUACCCGGGUCUCCAACACCUAUGCGCCUCUGGUAGGGAUGAGACUGCUCCCCACGUGACCGCACCUCAGCCUGUGUGGGGUCGUCGGUCCGCUGGGCCUGUAUCAUGAACUCUUACUAAGUCGCUUAAGCCCGCCCCACACGAUGCCCAAUUUCUGCUAUCUUUUUUCAUACGCAUGGGUAUAACAGUGGGUAUAGAAGUUUGUAAACAAAAGUGGAAGCAGAAAUAUUACAAUCAUAUCCACACGAUCACCAAACUGGUAGCAGAUAUAAGUAAACAAACUGAAUAGUGCGCAGAGAACAGUCUUUUGUUAGUGUAAACAGACAAUAUGGAUGACAGUGAAAGUUCAUGCAUACGGAGAAGAAAAUUAUGCGCUGUCGUAGCAUUGACAUCAACACUUGCGAGAGAAAAGUCACGAUGUAAAAUUAAACGUAGGGCACGACAAUGGUGGACAAAACCUUGGCUCCAGAAACGAAAUGAAGGAAAUGGCCACGGCAUGUUGUCUUUACUCCGGAAUGAAUUGAGGUUAGUUAAAAUUGUGUUAAUAAUACAGGUAACUACUUUAAAGAUUUAUUAUUCCCUUUUGAUGUUCAAAAUGUUUGUAUCUGAUGGUCUUCACAAAAUCUACUGAUUUGUUAAUGUUUCAUAGGCUAUAUGACACCGAGAGUUUUAGAAACUUUGUGCGAAUGGAUGGGGCUCUUUUUGACGAAUUGUUGGGACGAGUGUGUCCCAUCAUUCAGAAGCAGAAUACAGUAAUGAGGGAAGCCAUCAAGCCCCGUGACAGGCUGGCUGUCACCCUUCGGUAUUUGGCAACAGGAUGCACAUACAAAGACUUGCAGUAGUCGACAAGAAUUGCGGCAAGCACACUUGGUGUCAUCAUACCAGAAACAUUGAAGGCAAUUUAUGACACAAUAAGGGAUGAAUGCAUCAAAGCGCCAGAUACUCCCGCUGAAUGGGAAGUGGUUUCUAAUGGUUAUCACAGCAUGUGGCAACUGCCUCACUGCAUUGGUGCCCUUGAUGGAAAACACAUCAACUUCAGACCGCCUCGAAACAUGGGCUCUUUCUUCAGGAAUUACAAAGGGCAUGACAGCAUUGUACUGUUGGCGCUUGUUGAUGCAGAAUACAAAUUUUUGUAUGUAAAUGUAGGAGUCAACGGCCGCAUGAAUGAUGCUGGAGUCAUUCGUGAGAGUGACCUUUCUGAAGCAUUACUUGGUGGGACUCUCAAUUUGCCCAAAAGCCGUCCACUGCCUGGAAGAGACUUGCCUAUGCCAUUUGUAAUAGUUGCUGACGAUGCAUUUCCACUUACACCAAAUAUAAUGAAGCCCUACCCAGACAAAAAUCUUUGUCAGGCCAAACACAUUUUUAACUACAGAUUGUGCAGAGGAAGUCGUGUGGUUGAAAAUGCAUUUGGUAUGAUGUCGAAUAAAUUCAGAAUAUUGCUGUCAACACUUCAGUUACCAGUUAAGAAAGUGGAGUUGUUGACAGCAGUAUGCUGUAUUUUGCAUAACUUCAUUCUGUUGCGAAAGAAUGUGCAUUACCUUAAGUCAUGUGUUGCGGAAGACACUGCUGAAAUUGACGAUUUCCUGCCAGUACUGCAAGGCCUUAGCCAACAGGGUGGAAAUCACCACAGCAGAGGGGCAGCAGCUGUUCGAAAUGAAUUCAGUGAAUAUUUCAGUGGUGUUGGAUCUGUUCCAGGGCAGGAUUCUAAGGUAAGGCUAAAUCAGUGGUAGGAAUUCUAUUCUUAACUGUCAAAGAGAGAGGCACAUCCAAAAUAAAUAAGUGAAUAAAAAUAAAUAAAUACAAUAAUGUUAUUUAUUUACUUCUUCGCAUAAUUUCUAAUCAUUCUGUAACAGCUUUGCCAGUGGGGCAAAACGAGCCUCGGAUGAGGUGCGAGAAUUGCAUUAGAGUAAGCCUCUAACUUGCGAGAAGUGACGGGAAUUGCGAAAUAUUUUUAGUUUUCUCAAUUUUUCUUCAGUGGCCAAUCGACCGUCAAGUAAUUAAUACGUUCUUCGAAUUCACUGAUAAAAAUAUAGAAAUAUAAUUUUUUUAUUUUGAAAUAGAAUAUUUAUUCAUUUCAUACAAUACAUUUACAUUCAGCGUGAUGGAAAUUCAUGAAACAAACCCCUGGUGGCUGUAGUCGCAAAUUUUUGGAUGUGUCCCUCUCCAAGUAAAUUACCGUUUUGUUACAAUUUCUUGCAUUUGGUGUUUGAGUGUAGCAAGAGACAAACUAUUAAAGAUUUGACCACACAGAAAGUUACACUAUGUUCGCAAUGUUCAUUGUCAGGAGGUAGUUAAGCCUGUAUUCCACGAUGGAAGUUUCCUUGCAAGGUCUUCCAUACCAGCUGUUAUGGAUUAUUCUGAGGUAGAAUUAGCAGAGCAUUGGCCGGUUUCAUGGAAGUUUUUGUAAUUGGCCAUGUUCAAAUUUCUGUAGGUUUCGUAGACGGUGGGAAUUUUAUUCAAUCAGAAUGACAUACAUAGUAAUAUACCCCUGGUGUUUAAAACAGUAAUUCAUUUAGGAGGGAUUGAGAUGUUUUUAGUAGUGGUGAAUACUUUUAUAUUCAUUUUGAAGAUCAUAGUUACAAUAUGUGUUUCGCAAAACGUUUUGCCAGUUGAUGGUUUUGAUGAUGUACUUGUAAAUGCUCCCCAAUUUUUUUUAAUUUUUUUUUUUUUAAGUAAAUGAGAGUAUUCAAAGUGUAUUUUUAAAUAAUCAAGUUGCCGGACCGUGGGCCCUAUUCUCGACGCUGCCGGAAUAAUUCCGGUAGCGGAAUGAUCCUAAAGUUUCAGCCCGGUAGACAACUAAAUGUCAAUUCUUGAAACUGCUAUUGUAACUACCGGAAUCAACAUUGUCGGUGUUUCGAAAUGUCUUUAUGGAAGUGUGGCAACGUUUAAUUUUGUGUUGACGUACCUGGUAGAAGGCCAAUCACAAAGAGGGAACGGUCUUUUGUUAUGAAAACGAAUGAAAUGUUUUCGUUAUAUUCAUAUCUUUUCAUUAGUUGAUGGACAUGGAGGUUAUGUAUGUAUAUAAAUACUAGUAAUAAUUAAAAAUGAAUUUUAUGACUUGACUUACAUGAAAACAAUUGCGGAAAUACCUAUAGUAUGUUGUGAAAUCAACAACUUUAUUUCAUGUAAUAAAAAGUACUACUAACACAUAAAUAUGUACAAAAAUAUUUACAAAUUCAUGUGCAAUUUUAGUUAAAAUCAAAGAUUCUUAUCACUUAAAAAUACUCGUUUUUUAGUUAUUGUUUCUGCUUACUUGUUAGAAUUUGGAAUUCUUAUCACUUGAAAAUACUCUGUUUUUAGUGUAGUAUUGUUUAUGCUUACUUUACCAUAACUUGUUAUAUGUUUGUGUAUGAAUUGAGGUGAAAAUAAAUUUUAUGCAGUGUUUCUUGAUUCAGAAAAUAAUUUGUGAAUGUGUACAUUGAGAUUUCUAUAAUAAAUGCAAGUCAGUAGGCCUACAAAAUUAUACAAUUUUAUGGACAGCUUCUUGGCAAUUAUUUCAGAGAGAAAGUUAGUAAUUGUUUGCUGUAGUGGACUUCUUGAAAACAAUCAAAUAUAUCCAUCAAAAAAAUCUUUCAACUAUAUAAUUGUUUGCUGUAGUGGACUUCUUGAAAACAAUCUUAUAUAUUAAUCAAAAAAAACCUUUCAACUAUAUCUUCUUUCAUCAUUUAUUUAAUAAUACUUUAUGGGUUUUCAUCUAUGUGUUGUUUUCAAUCAUAUUUUCUACAUGUAGGAAUAUUGGCUCUGUAUGCAAGAUAUGGAUGGGUCAAUAUGAUAACCUUUAUUGUCACAAUCACUUCUAUUUGAGGAAAAUUCAUGUAUAUGUGGACUCAUUUUGAGUACAUUUCAAUUCUGGGAUUGAUGUACUCUAAGAAUGCAUGUGCAUAACCUAACACUAGUUAUGUUCCAUCAAAACAUUUCUUUAUAAGUUAAUUUGUGUUUAUUCGGAGUAUUUCAUGUUAAUGUAUUGUUGACACAUGUGUAUCUUGAUAGUGCUGUGCUUUAAGUUUUUAUGUUACUGUAUUGCUUAUUUGUAAAAUGUUUUUUAAUUAUAGAAUUAACAUACUUUGCAAGACUGAUUUUUUAUUUAGUGUUCUGUAUACGUAUUUGCUAAUUAUUUCCCAUCAGAAUGACUAAAUUGUUUUUAAAACUAAGUUCUACUGUAUUAGUUAUACAUAGUUCCUCAAUAAAACAUUAUUUUAUGUAAAAAUUAUCUACUUGAUUGUUGUUAUUGUUGCUGGUUGUUGUAUAUAUUGUGGCAUUACCACUUUUGCAUUUUAAUGUGAACUUACGUUAAGAGGUUAAGUAAAAGGUAUGACCUAAUAUUGUAUUGCAUGUAUGUAGUUAUCAAGUGCUUGCUAAUAUUUAAUGUGUAUCGUGUUUGUAAGUUUUCUUAUGAAUAAACACAAAUUAAUUACAAUAUAUAUAUAUAUAUAUAUAUGUGUAUUUUAUUACUUUCAACUCUUUGGAAUGACAUUUUAGUAUCUUGGUAAUAACUAGGGACACCCGUAUUUCGUGAAUACAAUUCGUGUCAAGGUAUUUCACAAAGCACUGUAGCUUUUUCUUAGAGUAUUGGCGAAUAGUGACCGUCCAGCACUACGGUACUCACAUUCCCAUUGGCUCCGUCAAGGGCGGGAAGACACCUUUCACCGACCACAACCAAUAAAAUAUAAGAAAAAGCUACAGUGAUUUAUAAAAUACCUUAACAUGGAAUGUAUUCGCGAAAUAUAGGUGUCCCUAGUAAUAACGCUUCCAUUAGUUACACAUUAAUAUUUGGACCGAUUACACAUCAGUAAUUGUAUAACGAAGCACAAACUUGGUAUUUAAAUCACCUAUGCACAAACCAAAUUUUGUCUAACAUUUUCAUGCAAAAUUAAAAAUUCUGGAUACAUAAAAUGAGUAAUUAAAUCUUGUUAUUCAAACUUGGUUUGUUUAAACUAGGUGGUACCUGGCAUGUUGCUGCCAAAGAAGAAUUAAUUAUGUAAAUGUUUAUAAUUUGGAAGCAUUAUCUAGUUUAACUAGGAAUGAUAAAAUAUUUAUUUUCUUGUCAAUAAUGAAUACAUUAUAUGAAAUCCUAUGAUAUGUAAUAUUUGUACUGUCCCUA